CAGCCGCCACGGUAAUCCGUAGGUGGCAAGCGUUGUCCGGAAUUAUUGGGCGUAAAGCGAGCGCAGGCGGUUAGAUAAGUCUGAAGUUAAAGGCUGUGGCUUAACCAUAGUACACUUUGGAAACUGUUUAACUUGAGUGCAAGAGGGGAGAGUGGAAUUCCAUGUGUAGCGGUGAAAUGCGUAGAUAUAUGGAGGAACACCGGUGGCGAAAGCGGCUCUCUGGCUUGUAACUGACGCUGAGGCUCGAAAGCGUGGGGAGCAAACAGGAUUAGAUACCCCAGUAGUCCCUGUCUCUUAUACA
RNAcentral lists this ribosomal RNA (301 nucleotides) under uncultured bacterium. RNAcentral describes it as "partial 16S ribosomal RNA". It matches the Rfam family "Bacterial small subunit ribosomal RNA", at positions 509 to 808 of the family's 1533-position model. The record is from RNAcentral.